RNAcentral lists this ribosomal RNA (280 nucleotides) under Segatella copri DSM 18205. Its description in RNAcentral is "Prevotella copri DSM 18205 partial 16S ribosomal RNA". It matches the Rfam family "Bacterial small subunit ribosomal RNA", at positions 524 to 805 of the family's 1533-position model. The record is from RNAcentral. Lineage: Bacteria; Pseudomonadati; Bacteroidota; Bacteroidia; Bacteroidales; Prevotellaceae.
UACGGAAGGUCCGGGCGUUAUCCGGAUUUAUUGGGUUUAAAGGGAGCGUAGGCCGGAGAUUAAGCGUGUUGUGAAAUGUAGACGCUCAACGUCUGCACUGCAGCGCGAACUGGUUUCCUUGAGUACGCACAAAGUGGGCGGAAUUCGUGGUGUAGCGGUGAAAUGCUUAGAUAUCACGAAGAACUCCGAUUGCGAAGGCAGCUCACUGGAGCGCAACUGACGCUGAAGCUCGAAAGUGCGGGUAUCGAACAGGAUUAGAUACCCGGCCGGCUGACUGACU